RNAcentral lists this long non-coding RNA (1059 nucleotides) under Dromaius novaehollandiae (emu). RNAcentral describes it as "lncRNA (ENSDNVG00000010950.1)". The record is from RNAcentral. Lineage: Eukaryota; Metazoa; Chordata; Aves; Casuariiformes; Dromaiidae.
CCCCAACGCAGGCGCGGCACGGGCACACGCGUGUUCCCGCACAUGCGGCCUGUGCACACGCGUGUCCAUGCACUUGUGCAUCCCUGUGCACGUCUGCCAGUGCACACACGUGUCCCUGAGCACACGCGGCCCAUGCCCACGCGCGUCCCUGCACACGCAGCCCAUGCACACGCGUGUCCAUGCACACACGUGCCCGUGCACUCGUGCGUCCCCGUGCACAUGCGUGCUGAGGCACACGUGUGUCCCCAUGCACAUAUGCCCAUGCGCUUGUGUGUCCCCAUGCACACGUGUGCCCAUGCACACACGCGCGUCCCUGUGCACACACAUGCACACGUGCAUCCCUGCGCACACGCGUGCCCAUGCGCUUGUGCAUCCCCGUGCACAUGCAUCUGUGCACGCAUGCAUCUCCGUGUACACGUGUGCAAGCACACGCGCGUCCCUGUGUGCACACACACCCGUGCACACGCGCGUSCCCGCACGCACACACACCCUUGCACACAUGUGUGCCCGCACACAUGUGCACCCGAGCACUUGGGCAUCCCCACGCACACACGUGCCAAUGCACACGCGCGUCCCCACGCACACACACACCCUUGCACACGCGCGUCCCCACGCACACAGACACCCGUGCACACGCGCGUGCCCGCACACAUGUGCACCCGAGCACUUGAGCAUCCCCACGCACACACGUGCCAAUGCACACGCGUGUCCCCCCCACACACACACCCUUGCACACGCGCGUCCCUGUGUGCACACACACCUGUGCACACGCGCGUCCCCGCACACAUGUGCACCCGAGCACUUGGGCAUCCCCACGCACACACGUGCCAAUGCACACGCGCGUCCCUGUGUGCACACACACCCCCUUGCACACGCGCGUGCCCGCGCACACGGGUGCCGCCGGGCGGCAGCACCGCCGUCUCCCCUCCGGCGGCGGCACCGCAGCGGGUUCCUUCCCUCGUGUCACUGUUUUCCGCAAACACUCCCACGCCGUCCUUACGCGAACCGGCAAUUAGGGGGAAACCGCUGCGCGCGGGCACACACACACNNNNNNNNNNN